CACCGGGAGCAUUUAGUCUAUAUCUGGUAUAUUUCAGAGACACACAAGAUAUUUAUGUUGUGAACAAACAGAGACAGUAUAAAGUCUUUGGAACAAAGCAGUGUGUUUGAAAUUUCUAGUGAAACGCAUAUGACGUCACCACAUUACAUGACUGUGGUCGUCGUGUUUUUACCUCAGUCGCCAUUGGAAACAGUCGGAAGUUGUGCUCCGUCGCCGAACAGAGAGAUAUCAGAGAUAUCCUAUAGAUUGUUGAUUGUUUUCUCUUAAGUUGUAGUAAAUUCGAAUUUGGAAACCGGUAUCGAAUCUGUGUGUUUCCAUAGGAAACAUCUUUGAACUUCAAAUCAAGAGUUCUCGUAGUUAACGUAAUCUAGGAGAGCUCGCUAGCGUGGCCUAAAUCGAACGUCGAAAGAGCUUCACGUUUGCCAUCACUGAAAAACAUGAAGACAACUGACAAGUGCAUGCAGGUUCAGACAGCACGCCUCGGUGAGGGGAUGAAGUUGAUUUUUGACCAAGAGGCUCCAUCUAGUUCUCCCUCCUCUACUUCCCGUUCCAGAAGCCGGAGUAGUGGAAAGAGCAGUCAUGGCACCAGUCGUCACUCAUCCAGAGGCAUUAAGCGCUCUCAUAGGAGAAGUCGCUCCAGAUCUUCCUCUACAUCAGGCAACCGCUCCCGCUCACAUCCGCGUUGCCACAGACAAUCGUCACGCGACCGUUGCCGUCGCCACCGUCAUUCACCACCUCGCCACUACCGGGCACACUCCCGCUCCUACAGCCCCUCCACAGACAAGUCCCACAGUAGAAGGCACAAAGGGUCAAACCGCCAAGACAGACGCCGAAGCCGCUCUCGCUCCAGGUCACCUAACCACAAAAGGUCCAGGUCCUCCGUCCAUCUCCGUCAGGAUGAAAAGAGGGAGCUUCUGAAAAUUGCUGCUGAAAAUGCAGUGAAGGAAAGUGUGAAGAGUGCCCUCCAGUCAGAAACGAAGGCAUCAAAGAGUGCCAGCCCAUCUCCAGAUCAUAGUGCUCCAGUCCAAGAGGAAUGGGUGAGACCAGAGACAGAACGACAGCAGAGUCCAACACAGAAAGUGUAUUUGCAGGCAUCGAUCUGGCCUGGAACAGGCUGCUUAUAAAUAGUCCUCAAAAUGCUGCUUGUUAUUUACAGCAGAGGCUUUGAGUAAUUCGAAUCAUCAACUGUUGUUGAAGAUUACAUGGUCUGCUCUCCAGCACCCCUCGGAUUUAGGAGAGCGAGGGGGCAGUCAUGUGACGCCACUGGGUUUGUGGAAAGGGUCAAUUCUUAAGUCUCAUUUGCACAACAAAAGGUCAAGUAACAGUUGAUGCCUGUAGUGUACUCUGUUUAAGUACAUAUCAGUAGUGUACCUUGUUUAAGUACACAUCUUUGUGUAGCAUGGACCUCUAUCAUUUUAAACUGGAGGCUGUAGCUCGUUCCAACAUGCACAUUAGAAGUAGCCAACGCCAAAUAUCUGACUACAUGUAACGUAACAGCAGGAUCUGUUCAUGCAUAACAGAAACGUUUGAUGAUUGUUGCUCUUGGUUGAAACGGAUGCGUUGUUAUUUAGCAGAGCCAUCCUCCAGCUUGCAGAAGAAGUGCAGGCGCUUGGACUGCGCUAUAGUGACUAUCCCUGACCUGAAAACUUAAAACAGAAGAAGAAACAACUCCCCUCCCCUCUCCAUGUACCAAAGAUAAGUUUGUGCCCAUGUUGUGGUGCAAGAUGGGGUACGGAAACAGCAUCAUCAGUGAAAGGAUCUUUUUAUUUUUGUGCAGUUUUCAUUUUUUCCAUCAAAUAUGUACUGUAACUAACUGGUCUAAAAGGUCUGCGGUUGCCCAUUGGCAGUAGUGCAGACAGAACUCCAUCUUAACACUGCAGACAUUGAUAUUCUGUCACAACUAUACCUGUACUUCAUGGCCUUAAUGACUGAGAUAGUCAUGCAUGGAUAAGUUGUCUAAUGACAAGAAGAAAAAAAAAAGAGAUGGGGAAACCUGGGGGGGAAAAAUAAGUUUGGGAUCACUUUGUUAAACAAGUCUGUUCCCCAUGUCUUUUUGGCAGGUCACAGACUCUGCGUCAGAAGAUGGCGAGUUGAGCCCCAAGGCGUCUCCCAAGAGAAAACCCAUCACAUUCAGCAUCAAUAACACUUUUGCAAAGCCAACAAAUGGCAAACCUCAGGGCAUGGGAGAGGUUAAGGUAACAUCCAGGGUCGACAUCGUGGGCAGCAAAAAGCCUUACGGGCACUGGAUGCCAGUCAAGAAGAGGGGCCCUUUUUCAUCCAAAAAGUAGAAAGCUUGCUAGCCGUGUGUGCUUCAACACAUGGACUUUGUAAAUAUUGUAGAUAUUGUAUAUAAAUGUGUUGGCAGGGUGGGGGUGAAAGGGGUGUAUGGAAUACAUCUUAGAUGUUUUCUUGCAGAUGUACAGUAGAAACAGUUGAGGGAAUUGUGAAGAAGGCAAGAGGAAAAUCUACAGGUGGGAUAUUUUUGUGACAUAUCUGUGCUUUUAAAUAAAGACAUUUUAAAAUGGA
Clupea harengus (Atlantic herring) is the source of this 2526-nucleotide RNA transcript. It is a transcript of the gene named arginine/serine-rich protein 1, with no coding region annotated. NCBI's taxonomy places the organism in Eukaryota, Metazoa, Chordata, Actinopteri, Clupeiformes, Clupeidae. The transcript has 6 exons. The record is from RefSeq and is a predicted model, not a curated record.